UUAGAUGGUUCUGAUGUGGCUGAUCUACAGGUUAUACAAUGAAUUUUCCCUCUCUGUCAGGGUUGGCUGAUCCGUCUGAACCACAGGAGAGGAUGAGCACAUGACUGUGAACGGAUGAGAAAAAAGGUGGCAAAGGAGUGAUUAUGUGUCUUCUCAAGGAUGUUGACAUUUGGAACCUGAUUUCCCCCUUCCACACAUUUCUUCCCCAGGAGCAUGCAUUUCCCAAGCAAUUUCCCAAAAUAUUGCUUAUUAACCAUGGGGUAAGUACUCAACACCCUCCAAAGCAGAGUUCUUCAGUAAAAAGCUGUAUUUUCAAAUGUGGGAGGCCCCAACAAGGCGUUUGAUUCAUUUCUGCUGGAAAAUAGAAUGGAUAGAAUGGAGAAAUCUUUGACUAUUUGGAAUAGAAAAGAACAGAUCUGAGUGAGACCUUGUCCUGCAUGCCCCAGAGGCAAACCAUACAGGCUAGUUCAUACCAAGGGACAGCAAGGGCAGAAGGAAGCAGGGCAUGGCCCUAUGUCUUUGAUAGGGCACAGUAAGCCUGCCCAGUAGCAAAACACAGCCC
RNAcentral lists this long non-coding RNA (562 nucleotides) under Homo sapiens (human). Its description in RNAcentral is "non-protein coding lnc-CAB39L-8:3". Lineage: Eukaryota; Metazoa; Chordata; Mammalia; Primates; Hominidae. The record is from RNAcentral.